This 274-nucleotide ribosomal RNA is filed under the name uncultured bacterium. RNAcentral describes it as "partial 16S ribosomal RNA". It matches the Rfam family "Bacterial small subunit ribosomal RNA", at positions 523 to 796 of the family's 1533-position model. The record is from RNAcentral.
AUACGAAGGGGGCUAGCGUUGUUCGGAAUCACUGGGCGUAAAGCGCACGUAGGUGGAUCAAUCAGUUGAGGGUGAAAUCCCGGGGCUCAACCUCGGAACUGCCUUCAAUACUGUUGGUCUUGAGUCCGAGAGAGGUGAGUGGAAUUCCUAGUGUAGAGGUGAAAUUCGUAGAUAUUAGGAAGAACACCAGUGGCGAAGGCGGCUCACUGGCUCGGUACUGACGCUGAGGUGCGAAAGCGUGGGGAGCAAACAGGAUUAGAAACCCUAGUAGUCC